GAUGAACGCUGGCGGCGUGCCUAAUACAUGCAAGUCGAGCGAACAGACGAGGAGCUUGCUCCUCUGACGUUAGCGGCGGACGGGUGAGUAACACGUGGAUAACCUACCUAUAAGACUGGGAUAACUUCGGGAAACCGGAGCUAAUACCGGAUAAUAUAUUGAACCGCAUGGUUCAAUAGUGAAAGACGGUUUUGCUGUCACUUAUAGAUGGAUCCGCGCCGCAUUAGCUAGUUGGUAAGGUAACGGCUUACCAAGGCAACGAUGCGUAGCCGACCUGAGAGGAUGAUCAGCCACACUGGAACUGAGACACGGUCCAGACUCCUACGGGAGGCAGCAGUAGGGAAUAUUGCGCAAUGGGCGAAAGCCUGACGGAGCAACGCCGCGUGAGUGAUGAAGGUCUUCGGAUCGUAAAACUCUGUUAUUAGGGAAGAACAAAUGUGUAAGUAAAUAUGCACGUCUUGACGGUACCUAAUCAGAAAGCCACGGCUAACUACGUG
This 497-nucleotide ribosomal RNA is filed under the name uncultured bacterium. RNAcentral describes it as "partial 16S ribosomal RNA". It matches the Rfam family "Bacterial small subunit ribosomal RNA", at positions 28 to 507 of the family's 1533-position model. The record is from RNAcentral.